Molecule: transfer RNA, 1531 nt
Filed under: Junco hyemalis (dark-eyed junco)
Lineage: Eukaryota; Metazoa; Chordata; Aves; Passeriformes; Passerellidae
Description: lncRNA (ENSJHYG00000008669.1)
Rfam family: tRNA (bases 1285-1358)
Source: RNAcentral
AAAAAGGAAAAAAAUAGGGGGAAAAUGAAAGAAAGAAAAGGAAAAGGGAAAUUGAGAGGGGGAAAAGGGAGGAAAUAAAGGGAAGAAAAAUAGAGGGAAAUUAGAGAAAAGGAAAAAAAUGGAAAAGAAGGAGGGGAAAAGAAGAAAAACAGGGAAAUUAGAAAAAAGGGAGAAAUGGACAAGAAGGGGGGAAAGGAAGAUGAAAAAACCCAGGAAAAUAAAAAAUAGGGAAAGAAAGGGAAAACGGGAAAAUCGGGCAAAAAGGAAUGGAAAAAAGGAAGGUAAGAAAAAAUGGAGGGAAAUUAGAGAAACAUGGAAAACGAUAGGGCGAAGGAAGGGAAGAAAACUGGGAAAAUGAGAGGAAAAAAAAGGAAAAGGAAGAAAAAGGAACAAGAGAAAGGGAAAGGAAAAAAGAGGGAAGAACAGGAAGGAAGGAGAGAAAAAAGGCAGGAAAAGAGUGGGAAAAAAAAUGGAAAAGCCGGGAAGGAAAUAAAGGAGGGGAAAGGGGCAGGAGGAGGAGCGGGAGGCGCUGAGCGAGCGCGGCUCUCACAUGCCCGGGAUCACCGGCGGCUCCCGCACGCCCGGGAUUACCGGCAGCUCCCCUCCCCGCCCGCUGCCGGCGCUCGCAGCCCGGCCCCGUCCUGGUGGCCCCGUGCCCGGGGGUUCCGGUGAGCCGCUGUCUGUGCCGCUGUCUCGGUUCCCGGGAUCGCGGGGUCGGUGCCUGCUGGAGCUGUUACCGGUGCCGGUCUCAGUGCUCGGUUGCCCCGGUUCCGGCGUCCCAGUGCCGGUGUCGAGUGUCCCUGUGCUUGGGGCCGAUGUCUGGUGUCCUGUUCCCUCUGUCCGUUGCCGGUGCCUGUUCCCCAUUCCCGCUCUUCCUUUCCCUGUAUCCUGUCCCCAUAUGCCGUUCUCGGUGUCCCGAUUCCAUUAUCGGUGUCCCGUUCCCAUUCCCAAUGUCCCAUUCCCAAUUUUCCGUUCCCUUUCCCGGUAUUUCGUUCCCGUUCCCGGUGUCCCGUUCCUGGUGUCCCAUUCCUGGUGUCCCGUUCCCAGUGUCCCGUUCCUUUCCCGCUGUAGCCGCCCCGUUCCUGGUGUCCCGUUCCCAUUCCCGGUGUCCAGGUCCCGGUAUUCCAGGUAUCCCGUCCCCGUUCCCGAUAUCCCGUUUCCAUUCCCGGUGUCCCGGUAUUCCCGGUGUCCCGUUCCCCGUAUUCCCUGUAUUUCAUUUCCGUUCCCAGUGUUUUGUUCCAGUUCCUACACUGAGAGCCGUGCGCUGGAAACAACUGCAGCGCCGUCUCUGUGGCGCAAUCGGUUAGCGCGUUCGGCUGUUAACCGAAAGGUUGGUGGUUCGAGCCCACCCAGGGACGGAGUCACUCGUUUUGCCCCCGCCGCUUCUUUUCCCGGGGGGGACGGAACCGGACACGGAGAACGUUCCCCUGCCAGAAGUUACCCCUUCCGCACUCCCGUCAUGCCUCGCGCGCUCACUGUGACUCGUCACUUUUCCGCCCCGCCCAACCCUCUGCCUCAGCCAAUCACCUGA